GAUGAACGCUGGCGGCGUGCCUAAUACAUGCAAGUCGAGCGAACAGACGAGGAGCUUGCUCCUCUGACGUUAGCGGCGGACGGGUGAGUAACACGUGGAUAACCUACCUAUAAGACUGGGAUAACUUCGGGAAACCGGAGCUAAUACCGGAUAAUAUAUUGAACCGCAUGGUUCAAUAGUGAAAGACGGUUUUGCUGUCACUUAUAGAUGGAUCCGCGCCGCAUUAGCUAGUUGGUAAGGUAACGGCUUACCAAGGCAACGAUGCGUAGCCGACCUGAGAGGGUGAUCGGCCACACGGGAACUGAGACAGGUUCCAGACUCUAACGGGAGGCAGCAGUAGGAAAUCUUCCGCAAUGGGCGAAAGCCGGACGAGGCAACGCCGCGUGGUUGAUGAGGUCUUCCGGUUCUAAAAACUCGUUUUUAGGGAAAAAAAAAAGGGGAAGGUACCAAGCCCCUUCUGAACGUAACCAAACCAGAAGACCCCGCCUAACUACUG
RNAcentral lists this ribosomal RNA (496 nucleotides) under uncultured bacterium. RNAcentral describes it as "partial 16S ribosomal RNA". It matches the Rfam family "Bacterial small subunit ribosomal RNA", at positions 28 to 506 of the family's 1533-position model. The record is from RNAcentral.